Molecule: long non-coding RNA, 343 nt
Organism: Quercus robur (English oak)
Lineage: Eukaryota; Viridiplantae; Streptophyta; Magnoliopsida; Fagales; Fagaceae
Exons: 3
Source: RefSeq, a predicted model, not a curated record
UUUUUUUUCCUUUCCUGUAAGUUACUAUCUUUGAUUAGAUAUUCAUAUUUUGGAAUGUGUUUUGCUUGCAAUUUUACUUACUCGGCAAUGGCAUGGGGAGACUGGAGAGUAAGGAUUGGGGGUGACACUGCAUUGAGUGAUGCCAGAGAAAUUUAUGCAAAAAAAACUUACCAACUUCAUUGAAAAGCGACUCAAGUCAGAAAGGGCUGCUUCUAUUUGGACAAGCACAUUGCAACAAACUAUUGAAAUGGCCAGAAAGUUAGAAAUAGUUUUGUAAGCGAUGUUGUAGAGACUUAUGGCUUGAAAUGGCUAAAUGAUUUAGGUCCUGCAUCUUUUGGAAUAA